Long non-coding RNA from Tachysurus fulvidraco (yellow catfish), 1074 nucleotides. RefSeq lists it as uncharacterized. The transcript has 2 exons. The record is from RefSeq and is a predicted model, not a curated record. Lineage: Eukaryota; Metazoa; Chordata; Actinopteri; Siluriformes; Bagridae.
CUUGUACUGAUACAGUCAAGACUUUUAUUUUUUUUUUAAAUCACAGGACCGUUUCCAGCCACUGAGGAACAAAAUGCUGUGUAAAAUCACGUCAAAUAAAUAUAUGCAAUUAUACAAAUGGGUUGGUGUCAUGGUGACGUAAUGCAGGUCAGCUGCAUGAUCAGCUGCAGGAGAAAAGGAAGGAAGGAAGUGCUGUUGAGCAACGAGAGCGAGACUGAAAAUCAUCAGAAAGUCAUUUCCUUUAUGUAUAAAUAACAACCAACAACAUUCAGCUGUAAAACAACUAGAAAUGAAGAAGAAUAUCCAGAACAUGACCUGUAUCAUGGAACACUGCGAAGUCCAUCAUCAACACCUGAAGAAAAUGGAGAACAGCAGUGACAUCAUAAAGAACAGGACGUUCCUCCAAAACUGACCAAAAGACAUGAAGAAAAGUUUCCAGGGAGGCUGCUGAGGGAUCUACAGCAACAUUAAGGAAUGUCUUAAUAAGGAACAUUAAGGAAUUAACUCUCUGAGAUACGACAAGGAAACGAAGCCGUCCAAGCUCUGCUAAAUCACCUCAAAAGGAAAACGAAGGGAAGAACUUCAGCUUCAACAAGACAGCUGAUCUUCCAAAGUAUAGCACAGGUGGUAUCAUCACUCCAUGAAGCAGCUUCACUUCAGCUGGCUCUGGAGCUCUUUCAGGAUAGAGAGAACGGCUGAUAUCUCCACACACUAAUCGGUUUCAUCAUCCAGCACGUUAAUGAGCCAAGGCAAAAUCACAAGCAAUAAAAUGAACAGUCCAAUCAAAUACCAGAGCUAAAUCUGUCUAGAAUCCUGUGGAAUAUCUCACAAAGGGACGUUUGCAGAAGAUCCACUUGCUAUCUGAUAGAGCUGAAGUGCUUUUCUGAAGAAGACAGGAUUGAAAUGACUAAAUGAAGAUAUGCUAAUUGAAGUCAGGUGACUUUUACCCAAUACUGUAUUAUGUAAGGGGUGCCAAUACUUAUGCAAUCGCAUCAUUCCAUGUUUAUUCUUUUUUUCUCUUUUUCCCCUAAACAUUUUACUUGGUUUUAAUUUGACAUUAAAAAUGGAAAAAGA